This 253-nucleotide ribosomal RNA is filed under the name uncultured bacterium. RNAcentral describes it as "partial 16S ribosomal RNA". It matches the Rfam family "Bacterial small subunit ribosomal RNA", at positions 524 to 776 of the family's 1533-position model. The record is from RNAcentral.
UACGUAGGGUGCGAGCGUUGUCCGGAAUUAUUGGGCGUAAAGGGCUCGUAGGCGGUUUGUCGCGUCGGGAGUGAAAACCUCGGGCUUAACUCGGGGCUUGCUUUCGAUACGGGCAGACUGGAGGUAUGCAGGGGAGAACGGAAUUCCUGGUGUAGCGGUGAAAUGCGCGGAUAUCAGGAGGAACACCGGUGGCGAAGGCGGUUCUCUGGGCAUGACCUGACGCUGAGGAGCGAAAGUGUGGGGAGCGAACAGG